RNAcentral lists this long non-coding RNA (2528 nucleotides) under Pan troglodytes (chimpanzee). Its description in RNAcentral is "lncRNA (ENSPTRG00000053642.1)". Lineage: Eukaryota; Metazoa; Chordata; Mammalia; Primates; Hominidae. The record is from RNAcentral.
AUGAGAAAGUGCCUACUAAAACAGUUGGAGAGAGCAGAGGUUCGCCUGGAAGGGAUAGAUACAAUUUUAAAAUUGUAUCUGGUGAACAAGAAUUUCUUACUUCCAUCUGUGCAGUAUGCGAUGUUUUGUGGAUGGCAAAGACUUAUUCCUGAGGGAAUCGAUAUAGGGGAACCUCUUACUGAUUGUUUAAAGGAUGUUGAUUUGAUCCCACCUUUUAAUCGGAUGCUGCUGGAAGUCACCUUUGGCAAGCUGCAUGCUUGGGCUGUUCAGAACAUUCGAAAUGUUUUGGUGGAUCCCAGUGCCAAAUUUAAAGAGCUUGGUAUCCAGCCGGUUCCCCAGCAAACCAUCACCAAUGAGAACCCGUCGGGACCGAGCCUGGGGACCAUCCCGCAAGCCCACUUCCUCCUGGUGAUGCUCAGCAUGCUCACCCUGCAGCACAGCACAAACAACCUUGACCUCCUGCUCAAUUCCGGCACGCUGGCCCUCGCUCAGACGGCACUGCGCCUAAUUGGUAGGUCUGCACUGGCUUGAGAGCCUUUGGGAAAACGUCAAGAUUUUGCUUUGAUUUAUUUUUUCUUUUUUUUUUUUAAAGCUUUUUGUAAAUUAUGGUAAGACACAAAUAGCAGAAAGUGUAGCAUUUUAACGUCGCAAUUCAGCGGUAUUAAAUACAUUCACAAUUUUCUAGAGUCAUCACCACUGUCUAGUUGUAGAACUUUUUCAUCACUAUAAAUGCACCCCAUUUAGCCAUCAGUCCUCACUCCCCUGCUCUCCAGCCCCUGGUAGUCACAAAUCUGCUUUCUCUGUCUAUGGAUUUGCAUAUCCCGGAUAUUUCAUAUAAAUGGAAUCAUACCAUUUGUGGCCUUUGUGUCUGGGUUAUUUCAUUUGGUAUAUAUCAGUACUUUAUUUUUAUGGCUGAAAAAGAUUUCAUUGUAUGAAUAUAUAACAUUUUGUUUAUUCAUUUAUCUGUUGAUGGACAUUUGGGUUGGUUUUGCCUUUUGACUUUUGUGAAUAGUGCUGCUAGGAACAUUUAUAUACAAAUACUUGUUUGAACACUUGUUUCUAGUUCUUUUGAUUAUACACCUAGGACUGGAAUUACAGGGUCAUAUGGUAUAACUAUGUGUAACUUACUAAGAAACUACCAAAGUUUUCCACAGUGCCGUAUCAUUUUUACAUUCCCAUCACCAGGGGGCAGGAUUCCAGGGUUCCAGUUUCUCUGCUUCCCUGCCAACACUAUUUUUUGUGGUUUUCUUUUUUUUUUUUUUGGAUUAAGGCCAUCCUAGCGGGUGUGAAGUGGUAUCUCAUUGUGAUUUUGAUUUGCAUUUCACUAAUGAUGAAUGACAUUGAGCUUCUUUACAUGUUUGUGCUUGUUGGCCAUUUGUAUAUCUUCUUUGGAGAAGUGUCUAUUCAAGUCCCUUUCUCUUUAUUUUUUAUUUUAUUUUUUUGAGACGGAGUCUCACUCUGUGGCCCAAGCUGGAGCGCAGUGGCACGAUCUCGGCUCACUGCAACCUCCGCCUCCCGGUUUCAAGCGCUUCUUGUGCCUCAGCCUCCCAAGUAGCUGGGAUUACAGUCACACACCACCACACCUGGCUAACUUUUGUAUUUUUAGUAGAGAGGGGGUUUCGCCAUGUUGGCCAGGCUGGUCUGGAACUCCUGACCUCAGGUGAUCUGCCUGCCUUGGCCUCCCAAAGUGCUGGGAUAACAGACGUGAGCCACUGCGCCCAGCCUGUUUCUCCUUUUUAAAUAGGGUUAUUGGUCGUCAUCUUGUUGUACCAAUAAAUGCCCUAUAUAAGUGUACCAAACCUUUAAAGAAGAAUUAACACCAGUCCUCAGACUCUUUAAAAAGUUCGUGUAUACUAGACCUUCACAGAUCUGUAGACCUUUAUCAGGUAUAUCAUUUGAGGGUAUUUUCUCCUGUUCUCUGGAUUGUAUUUCCUUUGAUAGAGAAGUUUUUUAUUUUGAUGAAGUUCAAUUUGUCUGUUUCUCUUUUGUCGUCUAUGCUUUUGAUAUCGUAUCCAAAAAGCCAUUUCCAAAUACAAGGUUGAUGAAGAUUAUCCUCAUGUUUUCUUCUGUAAGUUUUAUAGUUGUAGCUCUUAUAUUUAGAUCUUUGGUCCAUUUUUAGGUAAUUUCUUUUACACAGUGUGAGGUAAGAGUCCAGCCUUUUUCUUUUGUUGAUCUAAUUGUUUCAAUACCACUUGUUGAGGACUGUUCUUUCCCUGAAGUUCUGGGUACCCUUGGCAAAAAUCAGUUGGCUGUGGAUAUUUAGGUUUAUUUCUGGACUCUCAAUUACAUUAUCACAUUCUAUAUGUUGAUAAUUGUGCAGGUACCGCCCUGUUUUGAACAUUGUAGUUUUGUACUGUUUUAAAAUUGAGAAGUGUGUUUUCUUUCUCAAGAUGAUUUUGGCUACUUUGGGUCCCUUGCAUUUUCACAUGAACUUCAAGGCUGGCUUUUCCAUAUCUGCAAAAAAAGACCAUUGGGAUUUUUGCUAGGGAAUGAAUCUGUAGAUUGUUUUGGGGAAUAGUGCCAUCUUA